Lagenorhynchus albirostris (white-beaked dolphin) is the source of this 104-nucleotide small nuclear RNA. The record is from RefSeq and is a predicted model, not a curated record. NCBI's taxonomy places the organism in Eukaryota, Metazoa, Chordata, Mammalia, Artiodactyla, Delphinidae.
GCGCUCACUUCGGCAGCACAUGUGCUAAAAUUGGAACGAUACAGAGAUUAGCAAGGCCCCUGCACAAGGAUGACACGCAAAUUUGUAAAGUGUUCCAUGUUUUU